AGCGAACGCUGGCGGCGUGCUUAACACAUGCAAGUCGAACGUGAAAUGUAGCAACACAGCGUAAAGUGGCGUACGGGUGAGUAACACGUGGGUAAUCUACCAAAGAGCCUGGAAUAACCGACCGAAAGGUUGGCUAAUACUGGAUAGUUCAAAUGAAAUAUAAUGUUUCGAUUGGGAAAGGUAGCGAGCAAUCGCCUUCACUUUUUGAUGAGCCGGCGUCUGAUUAGCUAGUUGGUAGGGUAAUGGCCUACCAAGGCGACGAUCAGUAGCUGGUCUGAGAGGAUGAUCAGCCAAACUGGAACUGAAACACGGUCCAGACUCCUACGGGAGGCAGCAGUGGGGAAUCUUGCGCAAUGGACGAAAGUCUGACGCAGCCACGCCGCGUGAGUGAAGAAGGCCUUCGGGUUGUAAAGCUCUGUCGGAAGGGACAAAAACGUUUAAGGUUAAUAGCCUUAGAUCUUGAUGGUACCUUCAAAGGAAGCACCGGCUAACUUCGUGCCAGCAGCCGCGGUAA
Molecule: ribosomal RNA, 514 nt
Filed under: uncultured bacterium
Lineage: Bacteria
Description: partial 16S ribosomal RNA
Rfam family: Bacterial small subunit ribosomal RNA
Source: RNAcentral